AUGAACGCUGGCGGCGUGCCUAAUACAUGCAAGUCGAGCGAACAGACGAGGAGCUUGCUCCUCUGACGUUAGCGGCGGACGGGUGAGUAACACGUGGAUAACCUACCUAUAAGACUGGGAUAACUUCGGGAAACCGGAGCUAAUACCGGAUAAUAUAUUGAACCGCAUGGUUCAAUAGUGAAAGACGGUUUUGCUGUCACUUAUAGAUGGAUCCGCGCCGCAUUAGCUAGUUGGUAAGGUAACGGCUUACCAAGGCAACGAUGCGUAGCCGACCUGAGAGGGUGAUCGGCCACACUGGAACUGAGACACGGUCCAGACUCCUACGGGUGGCAGCAGUAGGGAAUCUUCCGCAAUGGGCGAAAGCCUGACGGAGCAACGCCGCGUGAGUGAUGAAGGUCUUCGGAUCGUAAAACUCUGUUAUUAGGGAAGAACAAAUGUGUAAGUAACUAUGCACGUCUUGACGGUACCUAAUCAGAAAGCCACGGCUAACUACGUG
Molecule: ribosomal RNA, 496 nt
Filed under: uncultured bacterium
Lineage: Bacteria
Description: partial 16S ribosomal RNA
Rfam family: Bacterial small subunit ribosomal RNA
Source: RNAcentral